GCCGUUGCCUCCACAAACGGCAUUGGUGGCAUUGGAGGCAAAUGGGGCAAUGGUGGCAAAGGUGGGAAUCGAGGCAUUGGUGGAAGCCUGAAAGGCGGAGGAGAUAUCGGCCGUGUGACAGGUGCCGGAGGUGUUGACGGUGUGACAGGUGCCGGAGGUGUUGACGGUGUGACAGGUGCUGGAGGUGUUGUGGGUAUGGCUGGUGGAGAUACCGGGUUAGCUGACUUUGGGCAAAAUGACAUGGGCUGAGCAGGCUGAGUGAGCAAAGAAUCCACAGAAUACAUUUCCAUAUCAAACAUACUAAACAUUAGCCUAAGAUUUUGGGCAGGACC
This 332-nucleotide long non-coding RNA is filed under the name Citrus maxima (pomelo). Its description in RNAcentral is "long non-coding RNA (CMAX_LNC004178)". Lineage: Eukaryota; Viridiplantae; Streptophyta; Magnoliopsida; Sapindales; Rutaceae. The record is from RNAcentral.